Thalassophryne amazonica is the source of this 174-nucleotide long non-coding RNA. RefSeq lists it as uncharacterized. NCBI's taxonomy places the organism in Eukaryota, Metazoa, Chordata, Actinopteri, Batrachoidiformes, Batrachoididae. The transcript has 3 exons. The record is from RefSeq and is a predicted model, not a curated record.
UGCAACAUGGGGCCGCCAUGGCGGGGCCUGCUCCCAUGUAGAUAUGAAGAGCUCAUUCUAAGCCCAUAAACACAUUGAUUCAUUGUUGCAGGUAAUUAUACACUAAUUAACAGAUAGUUAUGAAUGCUAUAAUCCAUUUCCGCUCAUAACCCCCUUUAAAUCCUACACAGUGUA